AACGAACGCUGGCGGCAGGCUUAACACAUGCAAGUCGAACGCCCCGCAAGGGGAGUGGCAGACGGGUGAGUAACGCGUGGGAACGUACCUUUCAGUUCGGAAUAACUCAGGGAAACUUGUGCUAAUACCGGAUACGCCCGCAAGGGGAAAGAUUUAUCGCUGAAAGAUCGGCCCGCGUUGGAUUAGCUAGUUGGUGGGGUAAAGGCCUACCAAGGCGACGAUCCAUAGCUGGUCUGAGAGGAUGAUCAGCCACACUGGGACUGAGACACGGCCCAGACUCCUACGGGAGGCAGCAGUGGGGAAUAUUGGACAAUGGGCGCAAGCCUGAUCCAGCCAUGCCGCGUGUGUGAUGAAGGCCUUAGGGUUGUAAAGCACUUUCACCGAUGAAGAUAAUGACUGUACCGGGAGAAUAAGCCCCGGCUAACUUCGUG
Molecule: ribosomal RNA, 431 nt
Filed under: uncultured bacterium
Lineage: Bacteria
Description: bacterial SSU rRNA
Rfam family: Bacterial small subunit ribosomal RNA
Source: RNAcentral